RNAcentral lists this ribosomal RNA (497 nucleotides) under uncultured bacterium. RNAcentral describes it as "partial 16S ribosomal RNA". It matches the Rfam family "Bacterial small subunit ribosomal RNA", at positions 28 to 507 of the family's 1533-position model. The record is from RNAcentral.
GAUGAACGCUGGCGGCGUGCCUAAUACAUGCAAGUCGAGCGAACGGACGAGAAGCUUGCUUCUCUGAUGUUAGCGGCGGACGGGUGAGUAACACGUGGAUAACCUACCUAUAAGACUGGGAUCACUUCGGGAAACCGGAGCUAAUACCGGAUAAUAUUUUGAACCGCAUGGUUCAAAAGUGAAAGACGGUCUUGCUGUCACUUAUAGAUGCAUCCGCGCUGCUUUAGCUAGUUGGUAAGUUAACGGCUUACCAAGGCAACGAUGCAUAGCCGACCUGAGAGGGUGAUCGGCCACACUGGAGCGGGGACACGGUCCAUACUCCUACGGGAGGCAGCAGUAGGGAAUCUUACGCAAUGGGCGAAAGCCUGACGGAGCAACGCCGCGUGAGAGAUGAAGGUCUUCGGAUCGUAAAACUCUGUUAUUAGGGAAGAACAGAUGUGUAAGUAACUGUGCACAUCUUGACGGUACCUAAUCAGAAAGCCACGGCUAACUACGUG